Molecule: long non-coding RNA, 327 nt
Filed under: Mytilus galloprovincialis (Mediterranean mussel)
Lineage: Eukaryota; Metazoa; Mollusca; Bivalvia; Mytilida; Mytilidae
Source: RNAcentral
CCCGCAUUUUCGUACAUAUAAUUGUUCAGAUUUGGACUUGGACAUCAUAUGAAAUUUACCGCAAAGAAAUCAAAAAGGACCAUGGUAGAUAAGUUUGGAAUGAUCUUCGUUAUGUGUAAGAAGUAGUAAUUUGGAAGGAAUAAUCAAAAUUGAGGAAUCGGUAAGAAAAGUAUGUAAUUGCAAUCUUUUUAUUUUCAAAAUAACUUGGUAUUCCAAAUGUGCAUAACCAAUGAUAAAUUAUCUGCAACAUAUGAAUGAUUCGAUCCAGACUGAACACCUGAAUUUUUUAAUUGUCCAGCUAUUAUGUUACAAUCUGAAGAAAUGUCG